RNAcentral lists this unclassified non-coding RNA (297 nucleotides) under uncultured Sporormia. RNAcentral describes it as "sequence contains ITS1". The stretch from base 1 to 105 matches the Rfam family "5.8S ribosomal RNA", at positions 50 to 154 of the family's 154-position model. The record is from RNAcentral. Lineage: Eukaryota; Fungi; Ascomycota; Dothideomycetes; Pleosporales; Sporormiaceae.
GAAAUGCGAUAAGUAAUGUGAAUUGCAGAAUUCAGUGAAUCAUCGAAUCUUUGAACGCACAUUGCGCCCCUUGGUAUUCCUUGGGGCAUGCCUGUUCGAGCGUCAUUUGACCCCUCAAGCCCAGCUUGGUGAUGGGCGUCUGUCCCCGCCCCCCGCGCGAGGACUCGCCCCAAAAUCAUUGGCGGCCGGUACGUUGGCUUCGAGCGCAGCAGAAACGCACCUCGAGCCCGGCGGACCGGCUCCCAGAAGCUUUACCAUCUUGACCUCGGAUCAGGUAGGAGUACCCGCUGAACUUAA